This 21-nucleotide microRNA is filed under the name Monodelphis domestica (gray short-tailed opossum). RNAcentral's name for it is "mdo-miR-7343-5p". Lineage: Eukaryota; Metazoa; Chordata; Mammalia; Didelphimorphia; Didelphidae. The record is from miRBase by way of RNAcentral.
UCAUGGAACCCGGACGUGAGC